RNAcentral lists this ribosomal RNA (301 nucleotides) under uncultured bacterium. RNAcentral describes it as "partial 16S ribosomal RNA". It matches the Rfam family "Bacterial small subunit ribosomal RNA", at positions 509 to 809 of the family's 1533-position model. The record is from RNAcentral.
CAGCAGCCGCGGGAAUACAGAGGGUGCGAGCGUUAAUCGGAUUUACUGGGCGUAAAGCGUGCGUAGGCGGCUUCUUAAGUCGGAUGUGAAAUCCCUGAGCUUAACUUAGGAAUUGCAUUCGAUACUGGGAAGCUAGAGUAUGGGAGAGGAUGGUAGAAUUCCAGGUGUAGCGGUGAAAUGCGUAGAGAUCUGGAGGAAUACCGAUGGCGAAGGCAGCCAUCUGGCCUAAUACUGACGCUGAGGUACGAAAGCAUGGGGAGCAAACAGGAUUAGAUACCCGAGUAGUCCCUGUCUCUUAUAU